This 405-nucleotide ribosomal RNA is filed under the name Triticum aestivum (bread wheat). Its description in RNAcentral is "partial small subunit ribosomal RNA". Lineage: Eukaryota; Viridiplantae; Streptophyta; Magnoliopsida; Poales; Poaceae. The record is from RNAcentral.
AUGAAUCUGACCCGCUUGUGCUCCGUUCGCCCAUUGACUGGUGUCAGAUGGCGGAUCUGUAGGGAACUCAGUUGGGGAUGUGCCACCACCAAGGUCAUCAUCACCGAGGGAUUCCACGCGCAGCAUGCGCCCCACCGCGACGAUGCGGCCGUGAGUACGAAAUCUAGGACGUCAGGAGGUGGCCGACUCUCUGGCGAGAGAAUCACGGCAUGGCGGGGGAGCUCCUCCUGUCGGGCCCAUCGGGGGAGACGACAUGGCGGGGGAGAUCCUCCUGUCCGGCCCAUCGGGGGAGACGGCAUGGCGGGGGAUCCCCUCUGGCGCUAUUGUGCAGGGAGAGACAGCGUCACCGUGUUCGGGCCCGUGGUGCGGGGGAUGCGGUGGUGGAGAUCGAGAAAGAAUACAUGA